CCUACGGGAGGCAGCAGUGAGGAAUAUUGGUCAAUGGGCGUAAGCCUGAACCAGCCAAGUCGCGUGAGGGAUGACGGUUCUAUGGAUCGUAAACCUCUGUCAGCAGGGAAGAACGGUCACUGUGCUAAUCAGCAGUGAAUUGCCGGUACCUGCAAAGGAAGCACCCGCUAACUCCGUGCCAGCAGCCGCGGUAAUACGGAGGGUGCGAGCGUUAAUCGGAAUUAUUGGGCGUAAAGCGCGCGUAGGCGGGAUGUCAAGUUAAGGGUGAAAUCCCCGGGCUCAACGUGGGAACUGCAUUUGAUACUGGCAAACUUGAGUGUAGGAGAGGAUAGUGGAAUUCGAGGUGUAGGAGUGAAAUCCGUAGAUAUCUGGAGGAACAUCAGUGGCGAAGGCGACUAUCUGGCACAUAACUGACGCUGAGGAGCGAAAGCGUGGGUAGCAAACAGGAGUAGAUACCCGGGUAGUC
Molecule: ribosomal RNA, 466 nt
Filed under: uncultured bacterium
Lineage: Bacteria
Description: partial 16S ribosomal RNA
Rfam family: Bacterial small subunit ribosomal RNA
Source: RNAcentral